Long non-coding RNA from Salvia miltiorrhiza (redroot sage), 393 nucleotides. RefSeq lists it as uncharacterized. The transcript has 2 exons. NCBI's taxonomy places the organism in Eukaryota, Viridiplantae, Streptophyta, Magnoliopsida, Lamiales, Lamiaceae. The record is from RefSeq and is a predicted model, not a curated record.
CACCUACUUAUCACGCCAAACACCAUUUUUAGCUUAGAUGGAGGUUUCAAGCUCCGAUUUGAGCACCGAGACGAGCGCCGAUCAUCUUUUCGAUCACGUAUCUAAGUAGGUUGAGCUGAUGUGAUGAUGGUGCUGCAAUGAGCGGAGUCUCCAGGGUUGUUAAUAAAUAGUUAACCUGUCUAGAAUAUGUCUUCAUACAUAUGUCUAGCUACUUUCCGCUGCAAGAUGUUGUUGAUGUUAUAGUAUGUUAUGUCAUACUUUGAGUCUUAAGAGAAUGGUUUCAUAUGAUGUAUAACUUGAUUAAUGAUAUUAAUUAAGUUUUAUGUUGUCUUUCAUAGACUGUUCAAAAGAGUAUUAAUGAGUAAAUACGACGAUUUUUCUUAAGUUGAGUAA